AACUUUUGAAUUGUUUAUUAAUUAAACGAAAAGCAUAAGAGAUUCACAUUUGGAAUAUAAUCCAAUAUUAUAACGAAAUAUUAUGAUACUUUGAUGCGCAAUUACCAGUAUAUGUUGUAACUAAAUGACUUAUGUGGAUACAAAAUUUGCAAGUUGUAAUUAACAAAGCAACAAAUGUCAUUUGUUAGUUAAUAAACACUAUGAUUUCUCGUACGUGACAACUUUUCAAAAAGCAAAACAUCAUAAUUUAGGAGUAUGGCGACACAUACUCCUCAACGAACAAUCUACAGCAAAUAGUGUCUGACUUUAUAGUAGACUACAAA
Molecule: long non-coding RNA, 323 nt
Filed under: Brassica rapa (field mustard)
Lineage: Eukaryota; Viridiplantae; Streptophyta; Magnoliopsida; Brassicales; Brassicaceae
Description: long non-coding RNA (BRAP_LNC005997)
Source: RNAcentral